Long non-coding RNA from Diuraphis noxia (Russian wheat aphid), 578 nucleotides. The record is from RefSeq and is a predicted model, not a curated record. NCBI's taxonomy places the organism in Eukaryota, Metazoa, Arthropoda, Insecta, Hemiptera, Aphididae.
CUGACCACUUUCACUGGGCACUGGCGAAAGUUUGAAGUCGGCCUACGUUCCUAUUUGUCGGUUAAUUUUUUAUAACUUGUUCUGUUUUCUUGCAACUUUACAGUCAUCACAUAUAUCUUCAAACUUUUGAAGUUGUUUUUUUUGUACUCCGUCGCAGCCGACUCUGGAAAAAUCACAUAUGGUUCUUUUCUUGUACGUUUGUUGAAGUUUUUUUGUUAGCGUUUUGUUGCAGCCGAGUCUGGGCAAGCCUCCUUUUGUUCAUUAUUAUUAUUUACUGUUCGUGUCCACUGCAAUAUCAUCUGGAUAUAUCCUUUAACUGUUGGCUCAUGGUUAUUGAGAGUACAGCAUUCAAUCAGCAUUAGUAUUAUUUGGUUUUUGAUCUCAGUCGUUGUGUGGUUAGCGGUUUUGAAGCAAAUGUGCGAAUCAUACCUGUUUUUUCUUAUAUUUUAUAAUUGUUUAACUAUGGAUCACGGCAUUGCUCAACCCAUAACCAUACCUAGCAGAGAUCUUGCAACGUUUUGUAAUUGGUACUAUUAUUAUGUGAAAAUUUAACCAAAUUGGCAAUUUAUAUACCAAUU